GACGAACGCUGGCGGCGUGCUUAACACAUGCAAGUCGAACGGUAAGGCUCUUCGGAGUACACGAGUGGCGAACGGGUGAGUAACACGUGAGCAACCUGCCCUUGACUCUGGGAUAACAGUUGGAAACAGCUGCUAAUACCGGAUAUGACCCCACCAGACAUCUGGUGGGGUGGAAAGCUCCGGCGGUCAAGGAUGGGCUCGCGGCCUAUCAGCUAGUUGGUGAGGUAACGGCUCACCAAGGCUUCGACGGGUAGCCGGCCUGAGAGGGCGACCGGCCACACUGGGACUGAGAUACGGCCCAGACUCCUACGGGAGGCAGCAGUGGGGAAUAUUGCACAAUGGGCGCAAGCCUGAUGCAGCAACGCCGCGUGCGGGAUGACGGCCUUCGGGUUGUAAACCGCUUUCACCCAUGACGAAGCGCAAGUGACGGUAGUGGGAGAAGAAGGACCGGCUAACUACGUGCCAGCCGCCGCAGUAAGAC
RNAcentral lists this ribosomal RNA (481 nucleotides) under uncultured bacterium. RNAcentral's name for it is "bacterial SSU rRNA". It matches the Rfam family "Bacterial small subunit ribosomal RNA", at positions 28 to 526 of the family's 1533-position model. The record is from RNAcentral.